GGUGUGCUAAUACCGCAUAACAUAUCAGAUUCGCAUGUUUCUGAUAUCAAAGAUUUAUUGCUCAAGGAGUGGGCUCGCGGCCGAUUAGCUAGUUGGUGGGGUAACGGCUCACCAAGGCGACGAUCAGUAGCCGGUCUGAGAGGAUGGACGGCCACAGUUGGGACUGAGACACCGGACCCAAACUCCUACGGGAGGCAGCAGGUGGGGAAUAUUGCACAAUGGGGGAAACCCUGAUGCAGCGAUGCCGCGUGAAGGAUGAAGUAUCUCGGUACGUAAACUUCUAUCAGCAAGGAAGAAACUGACAGUACUUGAUUAGGAAGCCCCGGCUAACUACGUG
RNAcentral lists this ribosomal RNA (337 nucleotides) under uncultured bacterium. Its description in RNAcentral is "bacterial SSU rRNA". It matches the Rfam family "Bacterial small subunit ribosomal RNA", at positions 157 to 507 of the family's 1533-position model. The record is from RNAcentral.